UCGCUGCUUCUCUCCCAUAACUCCACCCCAUAGUUACUGUUGCUAUGACGAAUCCGUGCGCGAGAAGGUGUCGCGGGAGAAGGGUCAGAUCGGGCAAGGUGCUGCAAGCUAGCUGAUGGCUAGUACACCCAGCUAGGUUAGAUAACUAGCUCGCUGGAUAUGGUGAGAGGCAACAGUGUGCUCUGCUAACUAGCCAGCAACCCGUUUUUUAUUGUAUAAAUGAGCUUGAUUUGGUUUGUAUUUAUUUUACUUUUCCAUUUUGAAUAAAGAAGACUCAGUGGCUACUGGCUCCUAGACUAGGUAACUACAUUAACAACAAAGAAGACGUCAACGAACACUCCUAGGAAACUCUGAGAAAGUAGUGGUUCCGUUGAACAAUGGCAUUGCUGUGUGUGGACAACCCCAAUAGCUCCUCCAGCAGAUGCUGCCCCCUCCUGUCUUCCAGAUGCCGCUGACCAAGCUGCCCACCAUCAAACAGGUGGUUCCUGGCUGAUGAUCUGUCUCCAUAGCUCAGAGAAACCGAGGAGGAAUAUCACUUUGUCUCCAAUACUACAGUCGUAGCCAAAAGUMUUUAGAAUGACACAAAAAGUUUGCUGCUUCAAUGUCUUUAGAUAUUUUUGUCAGAUGUUACUA
Salvelinus sp. IW2-2015 is the source of this 633-nucleotide long non-coding RNA. RefSeq lists it as uncharacterized. The record is from RefSeq and is a predicted model, not a curated record. NCBI's taxonomy places the organism in Eukaryota, Metazoa, Chordata, Actinopteri, Salmoniformes, Salmonidae.